This 397-nucleotide long non-coding RNA is filed under the name Nicotiana benthamiana. RNAcentral's name for it is "long non-coding RNA (NBEN_LNC002150)". The record is from RNAcentral. Lineage: Eukaryota; Viridiplantae; Streptophyta; Magnoliopsida; Solanales; Solanaceae.
AUAUAUAUAUAUAUAAACUAAAAGGAGCAAUUACCAUGAAAUUAUAUAAUGAGAACUUUUAGCCUUUUAGUUGUUUUGAUAUUUUAAUCUUUUAGUGGAUAAAUAUAUAGUACUCUCAUCUUCUUACUUUUUGGUGUUCGAAUCUUUCUUUCUGUUCCUUUCAAGUUUCAAGCGAUCACAUGACAACAAAAAUAUGAAUAAUAGUAAAAAUAUUGUUGUAGAUAACGAGAAUUACUUCAGGAAAUGUUGGUCAAAAUCGCGAUUGAAAUCUCGUUAUAUAUUAUGAAUAUAUGAAAAGAAUGGACCUUGGGCCUAACUCAACCCCAAAAGCUAACUUAUGAGGCGAGGAUUGCCCAAGCCAUAUAAGGAGACCAAGGACCUCAAAUCCCUCCGAUGU